GCCGCGGACUCGGCCGGAAGUGGAGGCGUGGUGUGUGAGGGUAGUGCCUGGCUCGUGGUUGCUGCCCGGUACUUGUCGGAGCUACGUGGAGGGCGGUGGCAGCCGUCCCAAGUCUCGCGCUCAGGCGAUACCUAGACCCGAGGGAGCACAGCUGAGGUGGAGUGAAGAACAAGAGCACAGAGUGGACUUGGGAAGAGAAGAGGAGAGCUAAAGAUGCAGAUGCCUAUAUUUUACUUAUUUAUUCAUGAGAGACACAGAGAGAGAGGCACAGACAUAGGCAGAGGGCAAAGCAGGCUCCAUUCCAUGCAGGGAGCCCGACGUGGGACUCAAUCCCCGGUCUCCAGGACCACACCUUGGGCCAAAGGCAGCGCUAAACCACUGAGCCACCCAGGCUGCCCCUAAGUGCAAUAUUUUGAGACCUACUCAUGCUGCUGAAUGUACAUCUGAUUUAUUCUGAGAGCUGCAUGGAACUCCAUGAAGACACCUUCCACAGUUUACUAGUUUAUUUCUGGACUAGUCUCACCCAGGCUGCCCCCCAAACCUGCCACUUGCCACCAUGAAUGACACUGCAGUAAACAUGUAUGUCACUUUACAAAGUUAUGAGAGAAUUGCUUUGUGAUUUCCUAGGUUUGGAAAUGCUGUCCCAGGAGAUAUGCAUGUAUCUAAUUUCUUACUUUGCCUAAGAAGUGGUAGAUUUGUCCUCAAGAGUGGCUAUAACAGGGGAUCCCUGGGUGGUGCAGCGGUUUGCGCCUGCCUUUGGCCCAGGGCUUGAUCCUGGAGACCCAGGAUCGAAUCCCACGUCGGGUUCCCACAUCGGAGCUGCUUC
Long non-coding RNA from Nyctereutes procyonoides (raccoon dog), 826 nucleotides. RefSeq lists it as uncharacterized. The record is from RefSeq and is a predicted model, not a curated record. Lineage: Eukaryota; Metazoa; Chordata; Mammalia; Carnivora; Canidae. The transcript has 5 exons.